Mirounga angustirostris (Northern elephant seal) is the source of this 7554-nucleotide long non-coding RNA. RefSeq lists it as uncharacterized. Lineage: Eukaryota; Metazoa; Chordata; Mammalia; Carnivora; Phocidae. The record is from RefSeq and is a predicted model, not a curated record. The transcript has 7 exons.
UUUCUAGGGCAUGUAGCUUCCUCACAUUUCCCAGAAUUCUUCAUAGUUAGACGGGGUAUGUGUUAUACUCUAUCUUUGCGCCUGGCCCAUCAACAGUUCCCAUACUUUCUCUUUCCCUGAGGGAUGACCUAAUGCAGAGCAUCCAGUGGAGGACUUCAAGCCCCCACAGAUGUUGAGUCAUUAUAUAGAAGGGACCUGUGUCCUUGAAUGUUUGUGUGGAGCAGAGCCUACCUGACGGGCUGCAUUGAACUGUGAUUGUCAAGGAUAUGACGUUCUGGGACUUCUGAGCCCAGGCCUUGAGAAGAAUGGCUGCUUUAAUGUCUUCCCUCUUGGAAGCCAACUGCCAUUUGAGAGGUCUAACUAUCCUGAGACCACCUUGCUAUGAGAAAGCCCCAGGUGACCAUGUGGAGAGCCCACUUGGGCACCAGAGGAUUCUGCUUCAGGAAAAAAGAAAUUGUCUACUUACGCAGCUUGAAGAAGCUACCUGCCUAAUAUCCUACCUCAGUCCCAGUUUUAAAGAUGAAACAUUAAAAGAAGACAGUGGCUGCCCCGUUGUCUUUCAAGGGCAUUUAUGAAGCCGCCAUCUAUGGUUGCUCAUCACAAAAUGUUAUCUGAAGCAAGCAGAGACACAGGCCAUGUUCUCCGGGGGUUCUGAUGGGAAACAGACUUGCUUGGCGCUUACACCAUAGACUGUUCUAGAUGCUGUCUCCAAAAUGUUUCCUUCUGGUCCACGACUUUUGGUGGUAAUGACAUUCACACAUGGAAAGGACCCAGCCCCUCUUCUUCAACCAAACCCCAAACUUCUGUGGUCUUAGCCCCAGAAAGAAGAUCUCUAGAGGAGGUGGCUGGUGGACCAGGCACCCCUGAAUCUUCACCCUGGGUUGCUUCUUUCCCCUGGGGUUCUCUCACCCGAUUUCCACACUCACCACCAUCCCGCUGUCCUUGGAAAAUAUGCUGGUGCCCAGGGGACAUCUGCCCUCCAUCUUGGUUCCGCCUGACAGAAGUGAGAAAGGCUUUAUGUACUCUGAACAUAUUUAAGAGAAAAAAGGAAACAAAAUAAAGGAAAACACCAGAAUUGUAACUUGGAAAAGACUUGACUAAAUCCCAAGAGAGCUAAAAUGACGUGGAUGCAAAAACACAUGUGUGAUGACUCCUGUCUGAGAAAGCUUCUUUCCACGGCCCAGAGUCUGCAAUCAUUCUCUGUUGGCCUUGCCUGAAACCCCUGCUCCCUAGUGGAUUCCUCCACGGCAGCGCUGCUGACAUUCGGGGCUGGAUAAUUCUUGGCCGCCCCGUGCACUCUAGGAUGUUGAACAGCCUCCCUGGCCUCUGGGGUAGUUAGUGUCCGAACUGAAUUAAAUUGCAGGAUACCCAGUCGAUGUGGAGAAUGGAGAAUUGGGUGUUGCUGGAGAAACGACAUAUGAUGUCGUUGGGCCAUUGAUGGGAUCACUAGGACAUCCAAAACGAGAGAUCUCCUGCUUCUGGUGAGAGUCUAUUUAUGGUUAUGUAUCAAAAGGUAUAGCGAACCUCGAACAAAGUGUGUCAAGCCUGAUGGAACGCUUAGACAAUAAUAGGAUGUUGAUGGAGCAUCAUUAUGAUGUCAUCGAAUGUAAUUGUGCUCACACAGAUGGCAACAUUAAUUCUCCUGAUCUUUCGGAUGAAUUCGCUAUUGCAACAACUGAUUAAAAUUGCUGGCUUCCCUGGUGGUGUGGAUUAUGUAUCUCUAUCACAGAGAAUUUCCUGGCAAAAUAAUACAGUGUUUUUCUUAAAAUAUUUUAAAUGGUUAGACAAACUGGGAGGACGAAACUCCUUUGAGAGUGGCAGUUGUUAGUUAAAGAAAUAAGGGACAUGGUUGGCAUGGAGGGCGGGGAGAAAGUGUCCUUCCCUUGGGUGAGGGUGCUGUCUCCGGAAGAGCCUCUCCAGGCCCAGUGGGCUGAGGUCUUUGGGUCACCUGCACCACACCCUGACGAGUGACACGUUCCUAACACGAGACUCUGUCAAGGUGGUCGGGAACCUGGUUUUGCCCCCUGUUGGCUGGGGAUCUUGACUGUGACAGUAUGGCCACUCUUAUUCCCGGUUUCUGGGGGCUGAGUUUCCUAUGGCCUGCUAUAACAAAUCACCACAAACUUAGUGGCAUGAAGCAACACAAAUUCAUUAACUUACAGUUCUGGAGGCCACAAGCCUGAAAAUGGGUCUAAAAUCAAGCUGUUGGCAGGGCUGGAAGCUUCUGGAAGCUCUGGAGGAGAAGCCCUUCCUUGCCUUUUCUGCUUUCUUGGCUCAUUGGCUCCUUUCCAGCCGGCAAAGACAUCACUCCAAAAUCUGCUCCCAUCGUCACUCUCUUUCUCUGACUCUCCUCCUUUCCUGUUGUAAGGACCCUUGUGAUGACCUUGGGCCCAUUUGGAUAAUCCUGGAUAAUCCCCCAUCUCAAGACCCUUAGCUAUAUCACAUCUGCAAAGUCCCCUUUGCCAUCUAAGGUAACACCUUCUCAGCUUUCAGGGAUUAGGAUGUGGACAUCUUUGGGGGCCAUUACUCUGCCUGCCACACUGCGGACUGCACGGAACAAUCCAUGAUGGAGUUCAUUAGCCCAGGACCUCAGGAACGUGAAAAAAGGAAGUGUGGCGCAUCGCCAAAUGCAGCUAUGAAAACUACUCCACGAGGACCUGUUGUUCAUCUCCGGGUCUUAUUCAUCAAUGAUCUUAACCAGGCAGCUGCCAGAAUGGCCUCCAUUUUGAUCUGGUUUGGAUUUGUCUCUCUCUGUCCUCCCACUGCUGCUGAACUUCUCUUCCGAGAGCUCAAGAAGGGGCGUGUGUUUAGAAAUAGGCCAGGAUGUGUGAUUAUUCUGCUUCCUUGCGUUCUAUAGCGCUCAGAACCCAGAGGUGCUUAACAAGUAGGCAUCGUUACAGGUGGUGGUUCUGUUUAUAGUGCUUUGGCAGAAGUAUUGGUUGGCUGUCCGUAAACCAAAAUUGUAGAUGUCCAAGGUGAAUGCCAAAUUCCCGGGGCUCGGGGGCUGACGACGGCUGCCACGGUCAUUGCCCUGUGACCAAUGCUAGAGACUGGCCAGAAGAGAAGGGACCAAGUUCUGUUGUUACUCCCGGGGAUUAGAAAAAGCAUGUGUGGUAGAGUAACAAGCACACAAGAGAAUGGGCUACAGGGGAGAUAUAUUUAGACCUAGGUGCUCAACCAGGGUUGCAUAUUGGAAUCACCUGGGAAGAUUUGUUUAUUUAUUUAAUUUUUGGCUUACGUGGGAAGAUUUAACCAACUGAGCCACCCAGGCGCCCUCUUACGUGGGAAGAUUUAAACAGUGGCCUUGCGAAGCCUGCACUGCUGGAGUUUUGAAGCUAACCGGUCUGGGCAUCCGAGUUUUCAAAGCUCUCCAGGUGAUGCCAAUGUUCAGCGAGAGCCGAGAACCACUGAGAGGAAUUUGAGCUAGGCGGUGCAGAGAGCCCCAGGUGAGGUACUCUCAUACUCACAGAAGCCAUCUACACGAGGGCCUGUGCCUUCGAAUCUCGGCGGUCUUGUUAAAAUCCAGGCACUGAUUCAGCAGUUCUGGGCUGGGGCCUGAGAUUUUUGCAUUUCUAGCAAGCUUCUAGAUGAUGCUAAUGGUGCUGGUCCAAGGACCAGAAUUUAAGGAGUGAGGAUCUCCCAACCCAUUUUACAGAGGAGACAGUGGGCGCCCGGGAGCAUGGGUGAGUUACCAAAGGUUUGUGGCAGAGUUGGAAACAGGAUGGAAUCGCCUUCCUCCCCAUCCAGUGACCAUCCCAUGCCACAUGUCUGUCUCAAUUGAGAAAAAGAUUCACCAGUGCUAGCCAUCAGCGAAAAUAGGGCAUCGACUGAUUAUGUAAACAUUAUCAAGAUUUAGCAACAUGAAAAGAGGAAAAUCAUGAUAGUGUGGAUCAGCCAUAGUAAUUGUUUAUGAGCAAAAUGGGUAUAAGUUAUUUAUUUGCUUAAGGGACCAAACUCUAUGUGUAUUCAAGUUUUUUAUAUAUAUGAUUUUAUACAUAUAUACAUAGAUACUUUUUUCCUUUAUGAAACACUAUUUUAUCUAUUUAAAAAUUUUUUUUAAUUUAUUCAUUUUAGAGAGAGAGAGCACGGGGGGAGGGGCAGGGGGAGAGGGAGAGAAUCUCAAGCAGACUCUGAGCUGAGCACAGAGCCUGACGUGGGGCUCGAUCUCACGACCCUGAGAUCACGACCUGAGCCGAAACUAAGAGUCAGACGCUCAACCGACUGUGCCACCCAGACGCCCCAUGACACACUAUUUCAAUGAGAAGAAACCCUGAUGAUUGUCAGAGGGCUGAGAGUGAGAUGGGCCUCUGAACGUCACACAUCAGCUUGGUCUUCCUUCCCCAUGGACACGGCUGUUUAAGGCCAGGAGCCCUCAGAUGGACACGUGGGUGGCUCUGCUGCUGGGGGUUCUCUGGUUGGUCUGUCACCACCCGCAACACAUUCUUUCCUUCCCUUCCCUUUUCCUUCUCCUCUUCUUUUCUCCCCCUUUCCCUCCUCCCUCUCUUCCUUGCUCCCUUCUUUUCACUCAUAAACAUUGGAGGUGUACCCUUAAAAGUCUUUCUCCUCCAACAACCACCCCACCUAAUUUGGUACAAAUAUUUAGAAUGGCUAACUCUGUUUUUUAAUCCUUUGUAUUUUUCGUAAAAUUUUUUUUAUUCAAGUAUAAAUAACAUACAAUGUUAUAUUAGUUUUAGGUGUAUGGCAUAUUGAUCCCACAAUUCUGCACAUUAUGAAAUGCCCACCAUGAUAGGUGUAGUUACCGUCUGUCCCAUACACCAAUAUUACAAUAUUAUUGAUUCUAUUCCCUAUGCUGUACUUUUCAUCUUAGAACUGUUAAUUCUUUUUUUUUUAAGAUUAUAUUUAUUUAGAGAGAGAGAGGGGCACCUGGGUGGCUCAGUCGUUAAGCAUCUGCCUUCGGCUCAGGUCAUGAUCCCAGGGUCCUGGGAUCGAGCCCCACAUCGGGCUCCCUGCUCGGUUGGAAGCCUGCUUCUCCCUCUCCCACUCCCCCUGCUUGUGUUCCCUCUUUCGCUGUGUCUCUGUCAAAUAAAUAAAUAAAAUCCUUAAAAAAAAAAUUAAAAAAAUAUAUAUAUAGAGAGAGAAUGCAUGAGGUGGGAUGGGGAGGGAAAGGGCAGAGGGCGAGGGAAAAUCCCAAGCAGACUCUGCGCUCAGCGCAGAGCCAGAUUCGGUGCUUGAUCCCAUGACCCUGAGAUCAUGACCUGAGCCGAAAUCAGGAGUCGGACACUUAACUGACCGCGCCACCCAGGCGCCCCUAGAACUGUUAAUUCUCGAAGCUGGGCCAGUGAAAAGUGAGGCAAAAAUCAGUGUUGCCUCCUUGACCCUUUUGCAAAUGGCCUCGUGGAAGGAGGCAGGCUGCGCUAAGAGCUUUACAUCCUGGGCGAGAACUGGCCCCUCCACCCAUUGCCCUUCACCCUUGGACAAGCCACUCAGACCUUUACUAACCCCAUGGGUUAGAAGGGGGCGAUAAGAUUAUUUUCUAAGGUUGUUGUAAAUGAUAAUUCAGAGAAGAAUGGAAAAUUCUUCCCCAAAGGGGCUGCUGUUGUUGUUUGACUAAGGUGGGCUCUGAUCAGGACCGCCCCUUAAACAGCGAAAAGACCCAGUCAAGAGCCAAAAGGACUCCAUCAGGGAGUAAGUGAAGUAAAAGGAGGACCGUGGCUGGAUUUUGUCAUCAUACGUGCCCCUGAGAGGACCGAGUGGCCUGGCGUGAGACGUACUUGCUCGGCCAGGCCAGUGUCCAAGCUGGCGGGCCCGGUCCGAGCUCCGGUGGGAAUAGCAUUUCUGCCGCCAGCCCGUGUGCUUGGGACAAUACGACUCAUGAAAAGCAAAAUGAAAACUCACGUUACGUGACAAAUCACCGCUCAGAGAUGGUGUUUAUUCUGCAGAAAUGACUCGAGAAGGAGUGAUGAAGAGAACGGAUCGGAUGUGAAUAGAACCCUGAAGCCUGUCGUGCCAGGGGCCGCUCUCCUCCAUUUCAGUGGCAUUUGGGAGGCUGUGCUCCUCCAUCUUUUAUCUUCCGGUGCAGUUUGGAUGUUGUCCAGAGGUGUGAGAAGCGCCCAAGGAUCGUGAGUGAGGAAAUGGAUCAUGACAUUGAUUGUGAACCCUGCCGUAGGCAUGGCAACAAGGCGAGCUGUGUGGAUGAUCCCGAGCCACUUGCUUAAGAGCCGCCUGGUCCUGCACCAAUUACGCUAAGAGGCAGAAGAACUUUCUCUCUGCCAGCAGCUAACUCCUCUCAAUUCCCAUGAACAUUUACUAGAGUCUGUGGCGGCUGAAGUGGCGACAACACGUUUUCGGCAUCAGUCUGUCCUUCCUGUGAAAAGCUGUGCUCUUCUGAACAUGCUUCCAUAGGCAAUACAAAGCUAGAGAUACAUCAUCUGACUGUCAGUGUCGGUAUGAGGACUCUUGAUGAUUCAUGUGAAAGACAGCUUUGUACGAAUUAAGGACUUCCAUGAAGAGUACUGAUGGGCCCCUUCACACCUGGCCCAUCCUAGGGGCCCAGUCGCUAAUGCUGAAUGAAGAAUUACAUAGCACAGGAUUUGAAUGCUGAUUUGGCCACUUAUCCAUGAUGUGAAUUGGAGCCAGUCAUUCGUCCGCACAGUUGGGGACAGUAGCUGUCACCGUGGUAAUAAAUGAGGUCAAGGGCAAGAUUCAGCAGAGGUCCUAACACAUAGGAGGGUCUCGGCCAGUGUUCGUUCUCUUUCCCUUGGUGUCCACUCGGCAUUCCUUCUUUUAGUGCAAUGCGGCACACAACUUAGCCCUUGGAGUAAGCUUUCAGCUCUGCACUUAUGCUUACCCAGAAUUUUUCCCUUUUGACUUACAUGAUAUUAAUAUUCUAUAUUAUUAGGAAAAGAAGAGCAUUAAAAAUGUAAUUUCGGAGCCGCUUAGUUGGAUAAACACACAAUGUGUUCAUGAAACAUCUUGCUUGUCACCCGAACCUUUACUUUCUAAUUUUUGCUAAAGCAAACUUUUCUAGAAUCAAUGCUCUAAAAAUUAAAGGCACCAAGCCGGCCAGCUUUUGCAGGAAGGUCGAAGUGUAAACUGAUGCUCUGGUGGUCUCGAGGUUUCUACUUAGCCCACAACAGAGGCCACGUCUGAAGGCAAAGUCUCCACUGUGGGUUCCAUCCGUUUUGCAAGGAAUGAAGUGUAGGUCAGGGGUCGGGGCAGGGUGAAGGAAAAUGUCUUUGAAAGAACUCAUCGGAUGUCACUCAGGGAUUAUUCAUUUACUGAAAAGUCUACCUUUGGCCUGGGGAUUUGCGGAAGGUAGAAUUCGCUAGCUAUUUCCUUUGAACUCCGCAUCCAGGCAUCCAGAGGACUGCGGGCUCACCCCCGUGCGGCGACCCCUGUGUGGCGGUUUUCCACACCUGAUACCAGAGACACGGGUCUGCUCUGGCUCUUCGGGAAAGCCCAGGGGUUCAAGGAUGAGGAGAGAAAAAGAUGCGCUUCACAGCACGUUGGUUUUCAGUUGCUCUUACCCCAUCAUCAGAGUCCUUUACCGGUAAGGAGCCGAAAGCCACGAAGACCAUUUGGGAUCCCGUGAGA